UGCUCCUAGGUGCCGACGACAGCUGCGUAGGUAAAUUUUGCUCGAGUCCGACAAAAAAAUAUCUGGGAAUGCAGCCUUCCGCUCUACUUCCGCUUCACGAACUCUACGCAUGACGUUACGCAUAGAACUGUAACGCAAAGAGUAGCCUGCUGUAUUUAUUUUGUUCAAUGCUUGCCCAUCUGCAUUUCGGUGCGACUGGGCAAGCAUGGACUGAUCGAGCUUCUUUUGCUGAAUUCCCCCCCCCCCCCCCCUUUUUUUUCUUGACCCACCACGACUGUGAAUACAGGACAUGCCGCAUUUGAACGCUAACAAUGAGCGGGCAGUCACCCCUACCUUGCCCACCUGCUGCAUGUUUUGACAAGACACGCCCGAGGCUGCCCAUGGUUGCAGUGUUGGUGUGUUUCUGUAAAUGACUUAAACCCCUAUGAUGCAUGUAUAACUUCUUGAAACUUUAGAAUAAAUAAAAACUUAAUUACUCGGAAUCCA
Non-coding RNA from Dermacentor andersoni, 486 nucleotides. The record is from RefSeq and is a predicted model, not a curated record. Lineage: Eukaryota; Metazoa; Arthropoda; Arachnida; Ixodida; Ixodidae.